Molecule: ribosomal RNA, 501 nt
Filed under: Savignium crenatum
Lineage: Eukaryota; Metazoa; Arthropoda; Thecostraca; Balanomorpha; Pyrgomatidae
Description: partial 16S ribosomal RNA
Rfam family: Bacterial large subunit ribosomal RNA
Source: RNAcentral
AAACAUUUCCUCUUAGAUAAAGAGGUAAGGCCUGCUCACUGAAUUUUAAAGAGCCGCAGUAUUCUAACUGUGCUAAGGUAGCAUAAUCAUUAGUCUUUUAAUUGGAGACUGGUAUGAAUGGCUUAACGAGAAAUUGACUUUUUUUGUUAUAAAGAUUGAAUUUAAUUUUUUAGUGAAAAAGCUAAAAUUGUUCAGAAAGACGAGAAGACCCUUUAGAGUUUUAUGUUUUAAAAAUAAAUUUUUAUUAGAUUUUGAAUUAUGUAUUUUUAUAAAACAUUUUGUUGGGGCGACAUAAAGAUAAAUAAAACUCUUUAUAUUAAAAAUUUUUAUAAAAAUAUUCUUGAUCCUUUAUAAGAGAUUAUAAGAAAAAAUUACCUUAGGGAUAACAGCGUAAUCUUUUUUAAGAGUUCUAAUCGACAAAAAGGUUUGCGACCUCGAUGUUGGACUAAAAUUUAGGCAGGGUGCAGCAGUUCUGCUUUAAGGUCUGUUCGACCUAUAAAA